Molecule: long non-coding RNA, 1191 nt
Filed under: Anas zonorhyncha (Eastern spot-billed duck)
Lineage: Eukaryota; Metazoa; Chordata; Aves; Anseriformes; Anatidae
Description: lncRNA (ENSAZOG00000016075.1)
Source: RNAcentral
AUGGACCGGGGGGGGGCAAAAAGUUGGUGUUUUGGGGAUGCUGGGGCUGCCACCCCCCCUGCUGAGCCCCCCGCCGAGCUCUGUUCCCGGCUCUGGGAUGGAGGAGAAAGCGCAGGGUGGGAUGCGGGGUGCGGGGUGCGGAGAGGGCGGCGGGGGUCCCGCAGCUGCCGGCGGGGCAAGGGGACAGGAGGAGGAGGAGGAGGAAGAGGAGGGGGGAGGAGGAAGAGGAGGAGGGAUGGGGAGGGGCGCUGCGAGCGGGAGCCAUGUGUCCGCCGGGCACAAAGGGAUUUGGGGCUCCCCGGUGGAGCCGCAGCCCGGUGCCUGGAGACGGGGCGAGCCCGCAGUGCGCGGACACCCCCCCCGCAUCCCCCCUGCACCGCGGAUGAAGGAGGGGGUGGGAUUAAACUCUCCCCCCCUGUCCCGGAGCGCUCUCCGGGCACAGAGCCGUCCCCCUGCCGGUGCCAGGGCACGGCGGCUCCCUCGGGUACGGGCCGGGCUGGCUGCUGCCGGGGCAAUGCCCUCCCGGCCCCCCCUUCACCACUUGAGUUUUUCCACUUGGCUGUCCCAACGGGAGGGGGAAGGGGCACGGUGCUCGCAAAAACCGUUUUCAUGGCAACAGCAAAGUUCCCUCCGUGUGAAAGCAAACUUUGUAGGGUUGGGGUGACGGGAGUGGGGCUGCGCGGAGCUGUCAAUCACGGCCCUCCCUUUCCGUCCCUGCCCUCCCUUCCCCUCCCUUUCCCUCUUCUUCCUCCCUUCCUCGCCCGGCACCUGCAGGGCCAGCAGCUCUGGCAAGACACCGCGGGCACGGAGCCGCCCAGCCCUGCCCCACUCUUCCUCCCUCAUCCUCCCCCCGCCAGCUCCUCGAGGGGGUCCUGGAGCCGCGGUGCUGGAGGAGGUGGGCAGCGCCGCCGGGGGGGGCUCGGAGCAAACCCCCCGGGCUUGGGGGGGCGAGGGGGCCCGUGCCUCGGCGUCCGGACCCCAACCGGGGGAGAGGGGGGGCUCCCCCAGCUUGGUGCCCCUCGGAGAGAGAAGAGCGUGAAGAUAACGGCGCUAAUUGGCACGGGGUGGGACGGGACGCCUCCGGGCAGGACCCGCGGGCACAGCCCUGGCCGGUGCCAGCACUUCGGAGACACCCUGGUGUCGGGCGGGGGGGUUGUGGUUUUGCAGUUCCGUAGCAGUUUUUCUGGCUAG